ACUCCUACGGGAGGCAGCAGUGGGGAAUAUUGCACAAUGGGGGAAACCCUGAUGCAGCAACGCCGCGUGAGUGAUGACGGUCUUCGGAUUGUAAAACUCUGUCUUUAGGGACGAUAAUGACGGUACCUAAGGAGGAAGCCACGGCUAACUACGUGCCAGCAGCCGCGGUAAUACAGAGGGGGCAAGCGUUGUUCGGAAUUAUUGGGCGUAAAGGGCGCGUAGGCGGUGCGGUAAGUCAGGCGUGAAAGCCCCGGGCUCAACCCGGGAAUUGCGCUUGAUACUGUUGCGCUUGAAUCCAGGAGAGGAUGGCGGAAUUCCCAGUGUAGAGGUGAAAUUCGUAGAUAUUGGGAAGAACACCCGUGGCUAAGGCGGCUCUCUAGUACGGUACUGACGCUGAGACGCGAAAGCGUGGGGAGCAAACAGGAUUAGAUACCCUGGUAGUCCACGCUGUAAACGAUGUGUGCUUGACGUCGGAGGGCAUAGCCCAUCGGUGUCGGAGCUAACGCGGUAAGCACACCGCCUGGGGAGUACGGUCGCAAGGCUGAAACUUAAAGGAAUUGACG
This 563-nucleotide ribosomal RNA is filed under the name uncultured Alphaproteobacteria bacterium. RNAcentral describes it as "bacterial SSU rRNA". It matches the Rfam family "Bacterial small subunit ribosomal RNA", at positions 335 to 915 of the family's 1533-position model. The record is from RNAcentral. Lineage: Bacteria; Pseudomonadati; Pseudomonadota; Alphaproteobacteria.